CGAGGCGCGGCGCGGCGCGGCUCCGGAAUCCGACUGCCGACGCCUGGGGCGGGCGCCGUCCGCCGUCGGCGGCGCCACCAGUCUCAGGGCACCAGCGCGCCACCUGCGAGUCAGACCGACGCAUCCCGACAAAUGGCACCAACCUGUGAAGCAGUUGUAAACGCGGCUGAACUUGGAAAUCACUUGAACCGUUCGACCAGAACUACGUAUGCUACUACCUGCUUUCAAUGGGAGGACCUGGGUUGCUUCUCUGACUACUGGAGGCUUGGGUCCGUGUCCGUAGAACCACUGAACACAGGUAGACG
Molecule: long non-coding RNA, 305 nt
Organism: Schistocerca serialis cubense
Lineage: Eukaryota; Metazoa; Arthropoda; Insecta; Orthoptera; Acrididae
Exons: 3
Source: RefSeq, a predicted model, not a curated record